GGGCCCGCACAAGCGGCGGAGCAUGUUGCUUAAUUCGAUGCAACGCGAAGAACCUUACCUAGGCUUGACAUGCACGGAAAUCUCGCAGAGAUGCGGGGUCCGUAAGGGCCGUGCACAGGUGGUGCAUGGUUGUCGUCAGCUCGUGUCGUGAGAUGUUGGGUUAAGUCCCGCAACGAGCGCAACCCUCGUUCCAUGUUGCCAGCGCGUGAUGGCGGGGACUCGUGGGAGACUGCCGGGGUCAACUCGGAGGAAGGUGGGGAUGACGUCAAGUCAUCAUGCCCCUUAUGUCCAGGGCUUCACACAUGCUACAAUGGCUGGUACAGAGGGCUGCGAUACCGCGAGGUGGAGCGAAUCCCUUAAAGCCGGUCUCAGUUCGGAUCGCAGUCUGCAACUCGACUGCGUGAAGUUGGAGUCGCUAGUAAUCGCAGA
This 429-nucleotide ribosomal RNA is filed under the name uncultured Actinomycetes bacterium. RNAcentral describes it as "bacterial SSU rRNA". It matches the Rfam family "Bacterial small subunit ribosomal RNA", at positions 917 to 1348 of the family's 1533-position model. Lineage: Bacteria; Bacillati; Actinomycetota; Actinomycetes. The record is from RNAcentral.